RNAcentral lists this ribosomal RNA (200 nucleotides) under uncultured bacterium. RNAcentral describes it as "partial 16S ribosomal RNA". It matches the Rfam family "Bacterial small subunit ribosomal RNA", at positions 30 to 237 of the family's 1533-position model. The record is from RNAcentral.
AUUGAACGCUGGCGGCAUGCCUUACACAUGCAAGUCGAACGGUAACAGGUUAAGCUGACGAGUGGCGAACGGGUGAGUAAUACAUCGGAACGUGCCCAGACGUGGGGGAUGGCUCGGCGAAAGCCGGAUUAAUACCGCAUAAGCUCUGAGGAGGAAAGCGGGGGACCGUAAGGCCUCGCGCGUUUGGAGCGGCCGAUGGC